Molecule: ribosomal RNA, 1445 nt
Filed under: uncultured organism
Description: 16S ribosomal RNA
Rfam family: Bacterial small subunit ribosomal RNA
Source: RNAcentral
CAGGCUUAACACAUGCAAGUCGAGGGGCAGCAUGGUCUUAGCUUGCUAAGGCCGAUGGCGACCGGCGCACGGGUGAGUAACACGUAUCCAACCUGCCGUCUACUCUUGGACAGCCUUCUGAAAGGAAGAUUAAUACAAGAUGGCAUCAUGAGUCCGCAUGUUCACAUGAUUAAAGGUAUUCCGGUAGACGAUGGGGAUGCGUUCCAUUAGAUAGUAGGCGGGGUAACGGCCCACCUAGUCUUCGAUGGAUAGGGGUUCUGAGAGGAAGGUCCCCCACAUUGGAACUGAGACACGGUCCAAACUCCUACGGGAGGCAGCAGUGAGGAAUAUUGGUCAAUGGGCGAGAGCCUGAACCAGCCAAGUAGCGUGAAGGAUGACUGCCCUAUGGGUUGUAAACUUCUUUUAUAAAGGAAUAAAGUCGGGUAUGGAUACCCGUUUGCAUGUACUUUAUGAAUAAGGAUCGGCUAACUCCGUGCCAGCAGCCGCGGUAAUACGGAGGAUCCGAGCGUUAUCCGGAUUUAUUGGGUUUAAAGGAAGCGUAGAUGGAUGUUUAAGUCAGUUGUGAAAGUUUGCGGCUCAACCGUAAAAUUGCAGUUGAUACUGGAUAUCUUGAGUGCAGUUGAGGCAGGCGGAAUUCGUGGUGUAGCGGUGAAAUGCUUAGAUAUCACGAAGAACUCCGAUUGCGAAGGCAGCCUGCUAAGCUGCAACUGACAUUGAGGCUCGAAAGUGUGGGUAUCAAACAGGAUUAGAUACCCUGGUAGUCCACACGGUAAACGAUGAAUACUCGCUGUUUGCGAUAUACAGCAAGCGGCCGAGCGAAAGCGUUAAGUAUUCCACCUGGGGAGUACGCCGGCAACGGUGAAACUCAAAGGAAUUGACGGGGGCCCGCACAAGCGGAGGAACAUGUGGUUUAAUUCGAUGAUACGCGAGGAACCUUACCCGGGCUUAAAUUGCAGAUGAAUUACGGUGAAAGCCGUAAGCCGCAAGGCAUCUGUGAAGGUGCUGCAUGGUUGUCGUCAGCUCGUGCCGUGAGGUGUCGGCUUAAGUGCCAUAACGAGCGCAACCCUUGUUGUCAGUUACUAACAGGUUCCGCUGAGGACUCUGACAAGACUGCCAUCGUAAGAUGUGAGGAAGGUGGGGAUGACGUCAAAUCAGCACGGCCCUUACGUCCGGGGCUACACACGUGUUACAAUGGGGGGUACAGAGGGCCGCUACCACGCGAGUGGAUGCCAAUCCCCAAAACCUCUCUCAGUUCGGACUGGAGUCUGCAACCCGACUCCACGAAGCUGGAUUCGCUAGUAAUCGCGCAUCAGCCACGGCGCGGUGAAUACGUUCCCGGGCCUUGUACACACCGCCCGUCAAGCCAUGGGAGCCGGGGGUACCUGAAGUGCGUAACCGCGAGGAGCGCCCUAGGGUAAAACUGGUGACUGGGGCUAAGUCAUAAC